This 2530-nucleotide ribosomal RNA is filed under the name Dehalococcoidia bacterium. Its description in RNAcentral is "partial 23S ribosomal RNA". It matches the Rfam family "Bacterial large subunit ribosomal RNA", at positions 960 to 2925 of the family's 2925-position model. Lineage: Bacteria; Bacillati; Chloroflexota; Dehalococcoidia. The record is from RNAcentral.
AUGCCGUCCAACCGAUACCCGGGAGUGAGACUGCCACAGAUAAGUGCGGUAGUCGAAAGGGAAACAGCCCAGACCACCGGCUAAGGCCCCUAAGUUCAAGCUAAGUGGGAAAGGAAGUGAGGUUCCUCAGACAACCAGGAGGUUGGCUUAGAAGCAGCCAUCCUUUGAAGAGUGCGUAACAGCUCACUGGUCGAGGAGUCUGGCGCCGAAAAUGUAACGGGGCUUAAGUUUGACGCCGAAGCCGUGGAUGUUCAGGUGCAAGGGUAAAGAUCCCACCCCCAAAGGUGGAGCCAAUAGGGAAACCCGCAAUAGGGAAACCCGGCAACGGGCAACCUGACGGUGGGGGAACCUGGCGGCAAAGCCGGCGGGAGAGGGAUUGGAGCCUUUGGAGAACGCCUGGGCGUGGUAGGGGAGCGUUCCUCGGGCAACGAAGGUGAGCCGUGAGGUUCACUGGAGCGCGGGGAAGUGAGAAUCCCGGAAUGAGUAGCGUAAACUAGGGUGAAAAUCCCUGGCGCCGAAAGCCCAAGGUUUCCUACGCAACGUUUAUCGGCGUAGGGUUAGUCGGUCCUAAGCCGUAGGCAAGCGCCGAAGGCGAUGGACAGCAGGUUAAUAUUCCUGCACCGCCGUUGUUUCGCUUUAAAACCAAGGAGGGGUGCGGAAGGGUAGGUAGAGCAUGCCUAUUGGACAUGGUGUGUCCUCAACUGUAGGCGAGUCGGGGCAGGUAAAUCCACUCCGGCGUUAAGCAGAGGGUUGAGGGAAUCGAGCCUUCGGGCUACGAAACUCUGUUGAACCCAAACCGACUAGAAAAGCUUCGUGGUUAUGGAGCAAUGGCGACCGUACCGGAAACCGCCACUGGUGGGCAAGGAUAAAAGUCCUAAGGCGUUCGAGCUAACCUCCGCUAAGGAACUAGACAAAAGAGCCCUGUAACUUUGGGAGAAAGGGCCCCCCGGGGGGUGAAGCCACUAGCUGGUGGAGCGUUCUGGGGGCGCAGAGAAGAAGGCCGGGCGACUGUUUAACAAAAACACAGGUCUGUGCUAAGGGGAAACCCUACGUAUACAGGCUGACGCCUGCCCAGUGCCGGAAGGUUAAGGGGAGUGGUGCAAGCCGCGAACUGAAGCCCCGGUGAACGGCGGCCGUAACUCUAACGGUCAACCGAACGGUCCAACCAGGCCUUGGGCGCAAGCCCUCGGCUCGGAGGCUGUUUAAGGCCGUUGUAAAAUCUGGCUAUAUGCUGGGAAACCCGAGUAUCCGGCGCUACCCGUUGAUCGAAUCUGGGUCAAUUGGUGACAAUGCGUCCGGUGCGGACAAUCAGCAGGAAAGACCAUGGAGGAAAUCCCCGCGCCACGUUCCGGACUCUGUCAAGGAAUGGUCCAUGGACGGGGUGGAACUUCACGGAAUCCUCAGAGACCAUACGCCAGACCCGCUGUCGGAACGUGCGGGAAGAUAUGGUCCGAUCUGUGUGGCGACAUGCAGAGGGCGGCAGAAAUGACCGUCCCCUCCGGUACUCAGCCAAACAGGCAACUGUCUGACCGGGAAUCGGGGAGUAACAAAUUGCCUAAGGUAGCGAAGUCCCUUGUCGGGUAAGUUCCGACCCGCAUGAAUGGUUGAACGACUUGGCCAUUGUCUCGGCGGAGGGCUCGGUGAAAUUGCGGUGCCCGUGAAGACGCGGGCGACCUGCGGCAGGACAAAAAGACCCUGUGGAGCUUUACUGUAGCCUGGUAUUGGGCUGGGAGCCGUCAUGUGUAGGAUAGGUGGGAGGCUAUGAUGCCCCGACGCCAGUCGGGGCGGAGCCGCCGUUGAAAUACCACCCUUGGCUGUUUUUGGUCCUAACCUCAGCGCAACUGAGGGACAGUGCCUGGUGGGCAGUUUAACUGGGGCGGUUGCCUCCUAAAAGGUAACGGAGGCGUCCAAAGGUCCCCUCAGGACGGAUGGAAAUCGUCCAUAGAACGCAUUGGCAUAAGGGAGCUUGACUGCGAGACCUACAAGUCGAGCAGGGACGAAAGUCGGGCAAAGUGAUCCUACGGCACCGUGUGGAAGGGCCGUGGCUUAUCGGAUAAAAGCUACCCCGGGGAUAACAGGCUUAUCUCGCCCAAGAGUUCACAUCGACGGCGAGGUUUGGCACCUCGAUGUCGGCUCGUCCCAUCCUGGGGCUGAAGGCGGUCCCAAGGGUCCGGCUGUUCGCCGGUUAAAGGGGUACGUGAGUUGGGUUCAGAACGUCGUGAGACAGUUCGGUCUCUAUCCGCCGUGGGCGCAGGAGGCUUGAGGGAACCUCUCCCUAGUACGAGAGGACCGGGAGGGACAGACCUAUGGUGUUCCAGUUGUUCCGCCAGGAGCAGCGCUGGGUAGCCAUGUCUGGCAGUGAUAAGCGCUGAAGGCAUCUAAGCGCGAAGCAUCCCCCAAGAUGAGGCCUCCCUCCCCGAUUAACUUCGGGGGUAAGACUGCAGAGAGACUAUCUGCUUGAUAGGCCGGAUGUGUAAGGAGUGUAAGCUCUUCAGCAAACCGGUACUAACCAGUCGAGAGGCUUGACCCA